This 73-nucleotide transfer RNA is filed under the name Mitosporidium daphniae. RNAcentral's name for it is "tRNA-Lys". It matches the Rfam family "tRNA". From Rfam's summary of the family: Transfer RNA (tRNA) molecules are approximately 80 nucleotides in length. Their secondary structure includes four short double-helical elements and three loops (D, anti-codon, and T loops). Further hydrogen bonds mediate the characteristic L-shaped molecular structure. tRNAs have two regions of fundamental functional importance: the anti-codon, which is responsible for specific mRNA codon recognition, and the 3' end, to which the tRNAs corresponding amino acid is attached (by aminoacyl-tRNA synthetases). tRNAs cope with the degeneracy of the genetic code in two manners: having more than one tRNA (with a specific anti-codon) for a particular amino acid; and 'wobble' base-pairing, i.e. permitting non-standard base-pairing at the 3rd anti-codon position. Lineage: Eukaryota; Fungi; Microsporidia. The record is from RNAcentral.
UAAUCUUUAGCUCAACUGGUAGAGCAGCUGACUUUUAAUCAGAAAGUUAUUAGUUCGAAUCUAAUAAGAUAAA